AGCGAACGCUGGCGGCAGGCCUAACACAUGCAAGUCGAGCGCCCCGCAAGGGGAGCGGCAGACGGGAGAGUAACACGUGGGAACGUACCCUUUGGUUCGGAACAACCCAGGGAAACUUGGGCUAAUACCGAAUAAGCCCUUACGGGGAAAGAUUUAUCGCCGAAGGAUCGGCCCGCGUCUGAUUAGCUAGUUGGUGAGGUAACGGCUCACCAAGGCGACGAUCAGUAGCUGGUCUGAGAGGAUGAUCAGCCUCACUGGGACUGAGACACGGCCCAGACUCCUACGGGAGGCAGCAGUGGGGAAUAUUGGACAAUGGGCGCAAGCCUGAUCCAGCCAUGCCGCGUGGGUGAUGAAGGCCCUAGGGUUGUAAAGCCCUUUCGGCGGGGAAGAUAAUGACGGUACCCGCAGAA
Molecule: ribosomal RNA, 410 nt
Filed under: bacterium Ellin6545
Lineage: Bacteria
Description: bacterial SSU rRNA
Rfam family: Bacterial small subunit ribosomal RNA
Source: RNAcentral